UUCCGGUUGAUCCCGCCGGACCCGACUGCUAUCAGAGUGGGACUAAGCCAUGCGAGUCGACGUAGCAAUGCGUGGCGAACGGCUCAGUAACACGUAGUCAACAUGCCCAGGGGACGUGGAUGACCUCGGGAAACUGAGAAUAAACCACGAUAGGUCACGAUUUCUGGAAUGGAUCAUGGCAUAAAUCUACAUGGCCCCUGGAUUGGACUGCGGCCGAUCAGGCAGUUGGUGAGGUAAUGGCCCACCAAACCUAUAACCGGUACGGGCUCUGAGAGGAGAAGCCCGGAGAUGGGCACUGAGACAAGGGCCCAGGCCCUAUGGGGCGCAGCAGGCGCGAAACCUCUGCAAUAGGCGAAAGCCUGACAGGGUUACUCUGAGUGAUUUCCGCUAAGGGGAUCUUUUGGCACCUCUAAAAAUGGUGCAGAAUAAGGGGUGGGCAAGUCUGGUGUCAGCCGCCGCGGUAAUACCAGCACCCCGAGUGGUCGGGACGAUUAUUGGGCCUAAAGCAUCCGUAGCCGGUUCUGCAAGUCUUCCGUUAAAUCCAGCCGCUCAACGGAUGGGCCGCGGAGGAUACUAUAGGACUAGGAGGCGGGAGAGGCAAGCGGUACUCAGUGGGUAGGGGUAAAAUCCUUUGAUCCAUUGAAGACCACCAGUGGCGAAGGCGGCUUGCCAGAACGCGCUCGACGGUGAGGGAUGAAAGCUGGGGGAGCAAACCGGAUUAGAUACCCGGGUAGUCCCAG
RNAcentral lists this ribosomal RNA (740 nucleotides) under uncultured archaeon. RNAcentral's name for it is "bacterial SSU rRNA". It matches the Rfam family "Archaeal small subunit ribosomal RNA", at positions 1 to 750 of the family's 1478-position model. The record is from RNAcentral.